CACCAGACUCCUACGGGAGGCAGCAGUGAGGAAUAUUGGUCAAUGGGCGCGAGCCUGAACCAGCCAAGUCGCGUGAGGGAAGACGGUCCUAUGGAUUGUAAACCUCUUUUGUCGGGGAGCAAAAGACGCCACGUGUGGCGUUCCGAGAGUACCCGAAGAAAAAGCAUCGGCUAACUCCGUGCCAGCAGCCGCGGUAAUACGUAGGGGGCAAGCGUUAUCCGGAUUUACUGGGUGUAAAGGGAGCGUAGACGGUUAUGCAAGUCUGGAGUGAAAGGCGGGGGCUCAACCCCCGGACUGCUCUGGAAACUGUAGAACUAGAGUGCAGGAGGGGUAAGUGGAAUUCCUAGUGUAGCGGUGAAAUGCGUAGAUAUUAGGAGGAACAUCGGUGGCGAAGGCGGCUUACUGGGCUUUUACUGACGCUGAGGCUCGAAAGCGUGGGGAGCAAACAGGAUUAGAUACCCUGGUAC
This 467-nucleotide ribosomal RNA is filed under the name uncultured bacterium. Its description in RNAcentral is "bacterial SSU rRNA". It matches the Rfam family "Bacterial small subunit ribosomal RNA", at positions 329 to 793 of the family's 1533-position model. The record is from RNAcentral.